UACAGAGGUCUCAAGCGUUGUUCGGAUUCAUUGGGCGUAAAGGGUGCGUAGGCGGCGCGGUAAGUCGGGUGUGAAAUCUCGGAGCUUAACUCCGAAACUGCAUUCGAUACUGCCGUGCUUGAGGACUGGAGAGGAGACUGGAAUUUACGGUGUAGCGGUGAAAUGCGUAGAUAUCGUAAGGAAGACCAGUGGCGAAGGCGGCUCUCUGGACAGGUACUGACGCUGAGACGCGAAAGCGUGGGUAGCAAACAGG
RNAcentral lists this ribosomal RNA (253 nucleotides) under uncultured bacterium. RNAcentral's name for it is "partial 16S ribosomal RNA". It matches the Rfam family "Bacterial small subunit ribosomal RNA", at positions 524 to 776 of the family's 1533-position model. The record is from RNAcentral.